UCCCCGACUGAUGGCGGCCGCCGGCUCG
Molecule: small RNA, 28 nt
Filed under: Bombyx mori (domestic silkworm)
Lineage: Eukaryota; Metazoa; Arthropoda; Insecta; Lepidoptera; Bombycidae
Description: ovarian small RNA-27225
Source: RNAcentral